RNAcentral lists this ribosomal RNA (229 nucleotides) under uncultured bacterium. Its description in RNAcentral is "partial 16S ribosomal RNA". It matches the Rfam family "Bacterial small subunit ribosomal RNA", at positions 568 to 796 of the family's 1533-position model. The record is from RNAcentral.
UCCGUAGGCGGGUCAUUAAGUCAGAGGUGAAAUCCCACAGCUUAACUGUGGAACUGCCUUAGAUACUGGUGAUCUUGAGUUUUAGUGAAGUAGAUAGAAUGUGUAGUGUAGCGGUGAAAUGCAUAGAUAUUACACAGAAUACCGAUUGCGAAGGCAGUCUACUAACUAACAACUGACGCUGAUGGACGAAAGCGUGGGGAGCGAACAGGAUUAGAUACCCUGGUAGUCC